Molecule: ribosomal RNA, 492 nt
Filed under: uncultured bacterium
Lineage: Bacteria
Description: partial 16S ribosomal RNA
Rfam family: Bacterial small subunit ribosomal RNA
Source: RNAcentral
AGUGAACGCUGGCGGUAGGCCUAACACAUGCAAGUCGAACGGCAGCACAGUAAGAGCUUGCCCUUACGGGUGGCGAGUGGCGGACGGGUGAGGUAUACAUCGGAAUCUACUUUUUCGUGGGUGAUAACGUAGGGAAACUUACGCUACUACCGCAUACGACCUACGGGGGAAAGCAGUGGAUCUUUGGACCUUGCGCGAUUUAAUUAGCCGAUGUCGGAUCAGCUAGUUGGCGAGGUAAAGGCCCACCAAUGCGACGAUCCGUAGCUGCUCUGAGAGGAUCAUCAGCCCCACUGGAACUGAGACACGGUCCAGACUCCUACGGGAGGCCGCAGUGGGGUAUAUUGGACAAUGGGCGCAAGCCUGAUCCAGCCAUACCGCGUGGGUGAAGAAGGCCUUCGGGUUGUAAAGCCCUUUUGUUGGGAAAGAAAAGCAGCAGGUUAAUACCCCGCUGUUCUGACGGUACCCAAAGAAUAAGCACCGGCUAACUUCGUG